This 279-nucleotide long non-coding RNA is filed under the name Physcomitrium patens. RNAcentral describes it as "long non-coding RNA (PPAT_LNC014665)". The record is from RNAcentral. Lineage: Eukaryota; Viridiplantae; Streptophyta; Bryopsida; Funariales; Funariaceae.
UUAAGCAUUAUUACAAAAAAAUUCAAUUUUAAAUUUGCUACCAAUUCUUUGGCAUCUUAAAAUUCCUAGUAUUUAUUCUAAAAUCCUAAUUUAUAAGCACCUAACUACUAUUUUCUUUAUAUCUCACAAAUCAAAAACUCAAAUACCACAAAACCUAUGUAUAAAGUUUAUCAAUAUGAAAAUAUAUAUUUUUAAAAAGUAUUGACUAGAAUCUUGUCAAAUUGCACAAGAUAUAGUUCAAAAUACAACCACUAGCAAUUUGGAUCACUUACUACUCUU